AGGGUUGUGGCUCAGUGGUAGAGCACUUGCCUAGCAAGUGUGAGGCCCUGGGUUCGAUCCUCAGCACCACAU
Molecule: non-coding RNA, 72 nt
Organism: Ictidomys tridecemlineatus (thirteen-lined ground squirrel)
Lineage: Eukaryota; Metazoa; Chordata; Mammalia; Rodentia; Sciuridae
Source: Rfam